AGAGUUUGAUUCUGGCUCAGGAUGAACGCUGGCGGCGUGCCUAACACAUGCAAGUCGAGCGGACCAAUGCCCAUUUCAGCUUUGCUGAUUUGAGCAACGGUUAGCGGCGGACGGGUGAGUAACGCGUGGGCAACCUGCCCUGUGCAGGGGGAUAACACAGCGAAAGCUGUGCUAAUACCCCAUAAGACUACGCUAUCGCAUGAUAGAGUAGUCAAAGCUUUAGCGGCACAGGAUGGGCCCGCGUCUGAUUAGCUAGUUGGUGGGGUAACGGCCUACCAAGGCGACGAUCAGUAGCCGACCUGAGAGGGUGAUCGGCCACACUGGAACUGAGACACGGUCCAGACUCCUACGGGAGGCAGCAGUGGGGAAUAUUGCACAAUGGGGGAAACCCUGAUGCAGCAACGCCGCGUGAGCGAAGAAGGCCUUCGGGUCGUAAAGCUCUGUCCUAAGGGAAGAAGUAUGACGGUACCUUAGGAGGAAGCCCCGGCUAACUACGUGCCAGCAGCCGCGGUAAUACGUAGGGGGCGAGCGUUAUCCGGAAUCACUGGGCGUAAAGGGUGCGUAGGCGGCCGAGUAAGCCAGAGGUGAAAGGCUACGGCUUAACCGUAGUAAGCCUUUGGAACUACUUGGCUUGAGUGCAGGAGAGGAGAGUGGAAUUCCUAGUGUAGCGGUGAAAUGCGUAGAUAUUAGGAGGAACACCAGUGGCGAAGGCGACUCUCUGGACUGUAACUGACGCUGAGGCACGAAAGCGUGGGGAGCAAACAGGAUUAGAU
This 773-nucleotide ribosomal RNA is filed under the name uncultured bacterium. RNAcentral's name for it is "bacterial SSU rRNA". It matches the Rfam family "Bacterial small subunit ribosomal RNA", at positions 8 to 783 of the family's 1533-position model. The record is from RNAcentral.